RNAcentral lists this ribosomal RNA (492 nucleotides) under uncultured bacterium. RNAcentral's name for it is "partial 16S ribosomal RNA". It matches the Rfam family "Bacterial small subunit ribosomal RNA", at positions 29 to 507 of the family's 1533-position model. The record is from RNAcentral.
AGUGAACGCUGGCGGUAGGCCUAACACAUGCAAGUCGAACGGCAGCACAGUAAGAGCUUGCUCUUACGGGUGGCGAGUGGCGGACGGGUGAGGAAUACAUCGGAAUCUACUUUUUCGUGGGGGAUAACGUAGGGAAACUUACGCUAAUACCGCAUACGACCUACGGGUGAAAGCAGGGGAUCUUCGGACCUUGCGCGAUUGAAUGAGCCGAUGUCGGAUUAGCUAGUUGGCGGGGUAAAGGCCCACCAAGGCGACGAUCCGUAGCUGGUCUGAGAGGAUGGUCAGCGACACUGGAGCUUAGACACGGUCCAGACUCCUACGGGAGGCAGCAGUGGGGAAUAUUGGACAAUGGGCGCAAGCCUGAUCCAGCCAUACCGCGUGGGUGAAGAAGGCGUUCGGGUUGUAAAGCCCUUUUGUUGGGAAAGAAAAGCAGCAGGUUAAUACCCCGCUGUUCUGACGGUACCCAAAGAAUAAGCACCGGCUAACUUCGUG